Molecule: ribosomal RNA, 469 nt
Filed under: uncultured bacterium
Lineage: Bacteria
Description: bacterial SSU rRNA
Rfam family: Bacterial small subunit ribosomal RNA
Source: RNAcentral
GAUGAACGCUGGCGGCGUGCCUAAUACAUGCAAGUCGAACGGGGAGUAUUAAUUUCGAUUUUUACUCCUAGUGGCGAACGGGUGAGUAACGCGUUGGUGACCUGCCCCGAAGAGGGGGAUAACUCCGCGAAAGCGGAGCUAAUACCCCAUGUGGUCUUUCAGGUUAGAGGCUGGACGACUAAAGGAGCAAUCCACUUCGGGACGGGGCCUGCGUCCCAUCAGCUAGUUGGUAGGGUAACGGCCUACCAAGGCGAUGACGGGUAGGGGGCCUGAGAGGGUCGGCCCCCCACACUGGCACUGAAACACGGGCCAGACACCUACGGGUGGCAGCAGUAGGGAAUAUUGCACAAUGGGCGAAAGCCUGAUGCAGCAACGCCGCGUGCGCGAAGAAGGCCUUCGGGUUGUAAAGCGCUUUUCUGGAGGAAGAGGAAGGACGGUACUCCAGGAAUAAGGAUCGGCUAACUACGUG